CUAUGGGUCAGCCGGCCACCUCAACGUGGUGCCAGGGUGCAGUACUCUUUGCUGGAGAGGAAGCCAAGUGCCUG
Molecule: non-coding RNA, 74 nt
Filed under: Trypanosoma cruzi strain CL Brener
Lineage: Eukaryota; Euglenozoa; Kinetoplastea; Trypanosomatida; Trypanosomatidae
Source: RNAcentral